Molecule: ribosomal RNA, 441 nt
Filed under: uncultured bacterium
Lineage: Bacteria
Description: partial 16S ribosomal RNA
Rfam family: Bacterial small subunit ribosomal RNA
Source: RNAcentral
CCUACGGGAGGCUGCAGUGGGGAAUAUUGCACAAUGGGGGAAACCCUGAUGCAGCGACGCCGCGUGAGUGAAGAAGUAUUUCGGUAUGUAAAGCCCUUUCAGCAGGGAAGAAGAAAGACGGUACCUGACUAAGAAGCCCCUGCUAACUACGUGCCAGCAGCCGCGGUAAUACGCAGGGGGCAAGCGUUAUCCGGAUUUACUGGGGGUAAAGGGAGCGUAGACGGGUGUGCAAGUCUGGAGUGAAAGCCCAGGGCACAACCCUGGGACUGCUUUGGAAACUGUGGAUCUAGAGUGCUGGAGAGGUAAGUGGAAUUCGUGGUGUAGCGGUGAAAUGCGUAGAUAUUAGGAGGAACACCAGUGGCGAAGGCGGCUUACUGGACAGUAACUGACGUUGAGGCUCGAAAGCGUGGGGAGCAAACAGGAUUAGAUACCCGUGUAGUC